Molecule: ribosomal RNA, 252 nt
Filed under: uncultured bacterium
Lineage: Bacteria
Description: partial 16S ribosomal RNA
Rfam family: Bacterial small subunit ribosomal RNA
Source: RNAcentral
UACGUAGGGUGCAAGCGUUAAUCGGAAUUACUGGGCGUAAAGCGCGCGUAGGCGGCUUUGUAAGUUAGAGGUGAAAGCCCGGGGCUCAACUCCGGAACUGCCUUUAAGACUGCAUCGCUUGAAUCCGGGAGAGGUGAGUGGAAUUCCGAGUGUAGAGGUGAAAUUCGUAGAUAUUCGGAAGAACACCAGGGGCGAAGGCGGCUCACUGGACGGGAAUUGACGCUGAGGUGCGAAAGCGGGGGAGCAAACAGG